RNAcentral lists this ribosomal RNA (529 nucleotides) under uncultured bacterium. Its description in RNAcentral is "bacterial SSU rRNA". It matches the Rfam family "Bacterial small subunit ribosomal RNA", at positions 777 to 1304 of the family's 1533-position model. The record is from RNAcentral.
AAUAGAUACCCCGGUAGUCCACGCCGUAAACGAUGAGUGCUAAGUAUUAGAGGGUUUCCGCCCUUUAGUGCUGCAGCAAACGCAUUAAGCACUCCGCCUGGGGAGUACGGUCGCAAGACUGAAACUCAAAGGAAUUGACGGGGGCCCGCACAAGCGGUGGAGCAUGUGGUUUAAUUCGAAGCAACGCGAAGAACCUUACCAGGUCUUGACAUCCUUCGCUACUUCUAGAGAUAGAAGGUUCCCCUUCGGGGGACGGAGUGACAGGUGGUGCAUGGUUGUCGUCAGCUCGUGUCGUGAGAUGUUGGGUUAAGUCCCGCAACGAGCGCAACCCUUGAUCUUAGUUGCCAGCAUUCAGUUGGGCACUCUAAGGUGACUGCCGGUGACAAACCGGAGGAAGGUGGGGAUGACGUCAAAUCAUCAUGCCCCUUAUGACCUGGGCUACACACGUGCUACAAUGGAUGGUACAAAGGGCUGCAAGACUGCGAAGUCAAGCCAAUCCCAUAAAACCAUUCUUAAUUCGGAUUGCAGG